CGCGGCCUAUCAGCUUGUUGGUGGGGUAAUGGCCUACCAAGGCGACGACGGGUAGCCGGCCUGAGAGGGCGACCGGCCACACUGGGACUGAGACACGGCCCAGACUCCUACGGGAGGCAGCAGUGGGGAAUAUUGCACAAUGGGCGAAAGCCUGAUGCAGCGACGCCGCGUGAGGGAUGACGGCCUUCGGGUUGUAAACCUCUUUCAGCAGGGAAGAAGCGAAAGUGACGGUACCUGCAGAAGAAGCGCCGGCUAACUACGUGCCAGCAGCCGCGGUAAUACGUAGGGCGCAAGCGUUAUCCGGAAUUAUUGGGCGUAAAGAGCUCGUAGGCGGUUUGUCGCGUCUGCUGUGAAAGACCGGGGCUCAACUCCGGUUCUGCAGUGGGUACGGGCAGACUAGAGUGCAGUAGGGGAGACUGGAAUUCCUGGUGUAGCGGUGAAAUGCGCAGAUAUCAGGAGGAACACCGAUGGCGAAGGCAGGUCUCUGGGCUGUAACUGACGCUGAGGAGCGAAAGCAUGGGGAGCGAACAGGAUUAGAUACCCUGGUAGUCCAUGCCGUAAACGUUGGGCACUAGGUGUGGGGGACAUUCCACGUUUUCCGCGCCGUAGCUAACGCAUUAAGUGCCCCGCCUGGGGAGUACGG
This 643-nucleotide ribosomal RNA is filed under the name uncultured Actinomycetes bacterium. Its description in RNAcentral is "bacterial SSU rRNA". It matches the Rfam family "Bacterial small subunit ribosomal RNA", at positions 232 to 885 of the family's 1533-position model. The record is from RNAcentral. Lineage: Bacteria; Bacillati; Actinomycetota; Actinomycetes.